Molecule: ribosomal RNA, 612 nt
Filed under: fungal endophyte sp. g13
Lineage: Eukaryota; Fungi
Description: eukaryotic LSU rRNA
Rfam family: 5.8S ribosomal RNA (bases 240-393)
Source: RNAcentral
CUUGGUCAUUUAGAGGAAGUAAAGUCGUAACAAGGUCUCCGUUGGUGAACCAGCGGAGGGAUCAUUACUGAGUUUACGCUCUAUAACCCUUUGUGAACAUACCUAUAACUGUUGUUUCGGCGGGUAGGGUCUCCGCGACCCUCCCGGCCUCCCGCCUCCGGGCGGGUCGGCGCCCGCCGGAGGAUAACCAAACUCUGAUUUAACGACGUUUCUUCUGAGUGGUACAAGCAAAUAAUCAAAACUUUUAACAACGGAUCUCUUGGUUCUGGCAUCGAUGAAGAACGCAGCGAAAUGCGAUAAGUAAUGUGAAUUGCAGAAUUCAGUGAAUCAUCGAAUCUUUGAACGCACAUUGCGCCCGCCAGCAUUCUGGCGGGCAUGCCUGUUCGAGCGUCAUUUCAACCCUCAAGCUCUGCUUGGUGUUGGGGCCCUACAGCUGAUGUAGGCCCUCAAAGGUAGUGGCGGACCCUCCCGGAGCCUCCUUUGCGUAGUAACUUUACGUCUCGCACUGGGAUCCGGAGGGACUCUUGCCGUAAAACCCCCCAAUUUUCCAAAGGUUGACCUCGGAUCAGGUAGGAAUACCCGCUGAACUUAAGCAUAUCAAUAAGCGGAGGA